This 406-nucleotide ribosomal RNA is filed under the name uncultured bacterium. Its description in RNAcentral is "partial 16S ribosomal RNA". It matches the Rfam family "Bacterial small subunit ribosomal RNA", at positions 29 to 526 of the family's 1533-position model. The record is from RNAcentral.
AUUGAACGCUGGCGGCAAGCCUAACACAUGCAAGUCGAACGAGUGGCGGACGGGUGAGUAAUGUAUGGGAAACUGCCUGAUGGAGGGGGAUAACUACUGGAAACGGUGGCUAAUACCGCAUACUAUCGGAUGUGCCCAGAUGGGAUUAGCUAGUGGGUGGGGUAAAGGCUCACCUAGGCGACGAUCCCUAGCUGGUCUGCGAGGAUGACCAGCGACGCGGGAACAGAGAAACGGUGCAGACCGCUACGGGAGGCAGCAGUGGGGGAUCUUGAACAGUGGGAGCAAUGCUGAUCCAGCCAUGCCGCGGGGAGGAAGAUGGCCUUCGGAUGGUAAAGUAAUUUCAGCAGGGAGGAGUUGCGCGAAGAAGAAGCACCGGCGAACCCCGUGCCAGCAGCCGCGGUAAUAC